This 253-nucleotide ribosomal RNA is filed under the name uncultured bacterium. RNAcentral's name for it is "partial 16S ribosomal RNA". It matches the Rfam family "Bacterial small subunit ribosomal RNA", at positions 524 to 776 of the family's 1533-position model. The record is from RNAcentral.
UACGUAGGGUGCAAGCGUUGUCCGGAAUUAUUGGGCGUAAAGAGCUCGUAGGCGGUUCGUCGCGUCGGCUGUGAAAUCCCGAGGCUCAACCUCGGGUCUGCAGUCGAUACGGGCGGACUGGAGUUCGGCAGGGGAGACUGGAAUUCCUGGUGUAGCGGUGAAAUGCGCAGAUAUCAGGAGGAACACCGGUGGCGAAGGCGGUUCUCUGGGCCUGUACUGACGCUGAGGAACGAAAGCGUGGGGAGCGAACAGG